Molecule: ribosomal RNA, 575 nt
Filed under: uncultured Capnocytophaga sp.
Lineage: Bacteria; Pseudomonadati; Bacteroidota; Flavobacteriia; Flavobacteriales; Flavobacteriaceae
Description: bacterial SSU rRNA
Rfam family: Bacterial small subunit ribosomal RNA
Source: RNAcentral
CCUACGGGAGGCAGCAGUGAGGAAUAUUGGACAAUGGUCGGAAGACUGAUCCAGCCAUGCCGCGUGCAGGAAGACGGCCUUAUGGGUUGUAAACUGCUUUUGCAGGGGAAGAAUAAGGAGUACGUGUACUUUGAUGACGGUACUCUGCGAAUAAGCAUCGGCUAACUCCGUGCCAGCAGCCGCGGUAAUACGGAGGAUGCGAGCGUUAUCCGGAAUCAUUGGGUUUAAAGGGUCUGUAGGCGGGCUAUUAAGUCAGGGGUGAAAUGUUUCAGCUUAACUGGGAAAUUGCCUUUGAUACUGGUAGUCUUGAAUAUCUGUGAAGUUCUUGGAAUGUGUAGUGUAGCGGUGAAAUGCUUAGAUAUUACACAGAACACCGAUAGGAAGGCAUAUUACUAACAAUUGAUUGACGCUGAUGGACGAAAGCGUGGGGAGCGAACAGGAUUAGAUACCCUGGUGGUCCACGCUGUAAACGAUGGAUACUAGCUGUUUGGAGCAAUCUGAGUGGCUAAGCGAAAGUGAUAAGUAUCCCACCUGGGGAGUACGCACGCAAGUGUGAAACUCAAAGGAAUUGACGG